AUCUAGCCAAAAUAUUUCCCUUGGGAGCAACAACUUUCGGGUUAAAAUUUCAUCUCGAAGAGGGGUUUUAGUCGGUAGGCGCUACAGCGAAUCCGACACUACCCGUCCUUUGAAGAUUUCCCCUCCUCGA
This is a non-coding RNA of Agrilus planipennis (emerald ash borer), 130 nucleotides long. The record is from Rfam. NCBI's taxonomy places the organism in Eukaryota, Metazoa, Arthropoda, Insecta, Coleoptera, Buprestidae.